GUUACUUCGGUACAUCGGUGACAGGUGGUGCAUGGUUGUCGUCAGCUCGUGUCGUGAGAUGUUGGGUUAAGUCCCGCAACGAGCGCAACCCCUAUUGUUAGUUGCCGUCAUUCAGUUGGGCACUCUAGCGAGACUGCCGGUAAUAAACCGGAGGAAGGUGGGGAUGACGUCAAAUCAUCAUGCCCCUUAUGACCUGGGCUACACACGUGCUACAAUGGUUGGUACAACGAGUUGCGAGUCGGUGACGGCGAGCUAAUCUCUUAAAGCCAAUCUCAGUUCGGAUUGUAGGCUGCAACUCGCCUACAUGAAGUCGGAAUCGCUAGUAAUCGUGGAUCAGCAUGUCACGGUGAAUACGUUCCCGGGUCUU
This 367-nucleotide ribosomal RNA is filed under the name uncultured Streptococcus sp. RNAcentral's name for it is "bacterial SSU rRNA". It matches the Rfam family "Bacterial small subunit ribosomal RNA", at positions 1014 to 1382 of the family's 1533-position model. Lineage: Bacteria; Bacillati; Bacillota; Bacilli; Lactobacillales; Streptococcaceae. The record is from RNAcentral.